RNAcentral lists this ribosomal RNA (433 nucleotides) under uncultured bacterium. RNAcentral describes it as "partial 16S ribosomal RNA". It matches the Rfam family "Bacterial small subunit ribosomal RNA", at positions 29 to 507 of the family's 1533-position model. The record is from RNAcentral.
AACGAAAGCUGGCGGCAUGCCUAACACAUGCAAGUCGAACGAGACCUUCGGGUCUAGUGGCGCACGGGUGCGUAACGCGUGGGAAUCUGCCCUUGGGUUCGGAAUAACAGUUGGAAACGACUGCUAAUACCGGAUGAUGACGUAAGUCCAAAGAUUUAUCGCCCAAGGAUGAGCCCGCGUAGGAUUAGCUAGUUGGUGAGGUAAAGGCUCACCAAGGCGACGAUCCUUAGCUGGUCUGAGAGGAUGAUCAGCCACACUGGGACUGAGACACGGCCCAGACUCCUACGGGAAGCAGCAGUGGGGAAUAUUGGACAAUGGGCGAAAGCCUGAUCCAGCAAUGCCGCGUGAGUGAUGAAGGCCUUAGGGUUGUAAAGCUCUUUUACCCGGGAUGAUAAUGACAGUACCGGGAGAAUAAGCGCCGGCUAACUCCGUG